RNAcentral lists this long non-coding RNA (289 nucleotides) under Solanum tuberosum (potato). RNAcentral describes it as "long non-coding RNA (STUB_LNC005829)". Lineage: Eukaryota; Viridiplantae; Streptophyta; Magnoliopsida; Solanales; Solanaceae. The record is from RNAcentral.
AGAGUUGGAGGUUCUGGUGCUUUAUUUUUUAAAUAAGGAAGGGAGUAAACAAAGUCUUGCAGAUGAGAGGGGGCUGUAUGUAUUCUAGAGGAUCUUCUAGGAGCAGAUGUGGUGGUGAGAAACUGAUUAUCAGAGGGAGGUAUAUGUUCAGUAGAUGAGAGAUGGGGUGAGUGAGGUGGAGGUAUAACAGUAGUAGAACUAGGUGAAGUAUCUAGAGUAGGCACAGAUGGUAAAGUGUUCUCAUCUUGCAACUGCCAUUUACUCAAAAUGUUAUCUGUGGAAAAACCAG